UCCCCGGUGGCCCAGUGGUUAGGGCUCCGCGCUUCCACUGCAGGGGGCCCGGGUUCGAUCCCCGGUUGGGGAA
Non-coding RNA from Balaenoptera acutorostrata (minke whale), 73 nucleotides. Lineage: Eukaryota; Metazoa; Chordata; Mammalia; Artiodactyla; Balaenopteridae. The record is from the annotation of a RefSeq genome assembly.